GAAGAUGGAGAUGAGUAUCGCAUAUCAGAGGACUCCUACCACUUUAUUACCUUUAAGCUGAAGCCAGAGAAGGGAGGCCCCUUUGUCUAACAAGAGAUUAUUCUGAUGGUUGUUUUAAAGCAGUCUGCAUCAGAAGGAUAGCAAGAAUUUUAAGACGUUCCUUAGGGCUUCAUGUCUUCAUGUUCUGCGGUGAGAGACUCUGCUUGGGGAAGCCUGCAUUCAAAAAUAUGACUCGUUUUCUAAACAGCAAUACAAGCAGCAAGGUUCAGAGCAUGACAGGAGUGAAGAGAACCCACCCAUAAACUGAACAGAGAAGUUUGGAAAGUUAAAGUUGAAUGGAGGUGAUAUCUUGCCAAAUAAAAAACAUGACUCCGGUUGAAUGACUUGGCUCCUAAGAUCACGAAGCUUCUAAGUGGCAAGACCAGAAUUUGCAUUGAGGUCUUCUGAAUCCAAUUCCCU
Carlito syrichta (Philippine tarsier) is the source of this 459-nucleotide long non-coding RNA. RefSeq lists it as uncharacterized. The transcript is spliced from 3 exons. NCBI's taxonomy places the organism in Eukaryota, Metazoa, Chordata, Mammalia, Primates, Tarsiidae. The record is from RefSeq and is a predicted model, not a curated record.